Molecule: long non-coding RNA, 588 nt
Organism: Oncorhynchus tshawytscha (Chinook salmon)
Lineage: Eukaryota; Metazoa; Chordata; Actinopteri; Salmoniformes; Salmonidae
Source: Ensembl
GACAACUGCUCGGCCUCCGACCGCAAGGCACUACAGAAGGUCAUGUUGGGGUGUUGGACACAGUGAAGAGGCAUAGAGGAUGCAGACAGUGUCUUUAAGCUGUCUCACUCAAACUGACUGCUGAAUACAACGUAAGCUAUUCCCACUGAUGCAAGUCCAGCAAAUAGUACAGAGAGAUCCUUGAUGAAAACCUGCUCCAGAGCAUUCAGGACCUUAGACUGGGGCGAAUGUUCACCUUCCAACAGGACAACGACCAUAAGCACACAGCCAAGACAACUCAGGAGUGGCUCUGAGUCUCAAGUCUCUGAAUGUCCUUGAGCGGCCCAGCCAGAGCCCAGACUUUAACCCGAUCGAACAUCUCUGGAGAGACCUGAAAAUACCUGUGCAGCGACGCUCCCCAUCCAACCAGACAGAGCAUGAGAGGUUCUGCAGAGAAGAAUGGGAGAAACUCCCCAAAUAGAGGUGUGCCAAGCUUGUAGAGUCAUACCCAAGAAGAUUCGAUGCUGUAAUCACAGCCAACAAAGUACUGAGUAAAGAGUCUGAAUACUUAAAUGUGAUAUUGCAUUUUUAAUUUUUUUUUUAUAAAUU